RNAcentral lists this ribosomal RNA (443 nucleotides) under uncultured bacterium. Its description in RNAcentral is "partial 16S ribosomal RNA". It matches the Rfam family "Bacterial small subunit ribosomal RNA", at positions 338 to 795 of the family's 1533-position model. The record is from RNAcentral.
CCUACGGGGGGCAGCAGUGGGGAAUAUUGGACAAUGGGCGCAAGCCUGACGCAGCAACGCCGCGUGAAGGAAGAAGGCUUUCGGGUUGUAAACUUCUCUUCUCAGGGACGAAGGAAGUGACGGUACCUUAGGAAUAAGCCACGGCUAACUACGUGCCAACAGCCGCGGUAAUACGUAGGUGGCAAGCGUGAUCCGGAUUUACUGGGUGUAAAGGGAGUGUAGGCGGGAAAGUAAGUCAGAUGUGAAAACCAUGGGCUCAACCUGUGGACUGCAUUUGAAACUGUUUUUCUUGAGUACUGGAGAGGCGGACGGAAUGCCUAGUGUAGCGGUGAAAUGCGUAGAUAUUAGGAGGAACACCAGUGGCGAAGGCGGUCUGCUGGACAGCAACUGACGCUGAGGCGCGAAAGCGUGGGGAGCAAACAGGAUUAGAUACCCUUGUAGUC